UCCAUGUGAACAUGAAGUGGAGGUCGCCC
Molecule: non-coding RNA, 29 nt
Filed under: Rattus norvegicus (Norway rat)
Lineage: Eukaryota; Metazoa; Chordata; Mammalia; Rodentia; Muridae
Source: RNAcentral